GACGAACGCUGGCGGCGUGCUUAACACAUGCAAGUCGAACGGAAAGGCCCUGCUUUUGCGGGGUGCUCGAGUGGCGAACGGGUGAGUAACACGUGAGUAACCUGCCCUUGACUUUGGGAUAACUUCAGGAAACUGGGGCUAAUACCGGAUAGGAGCUCCUGCAGCAUGGUGGGGGUUGGAGAGUUUCGGCGGUUGGGGAUGGACUCGCGGCUUAUCAGCUUGUUUGUGGGGUAGUGGCUUACCAAGGCUUUGACGGGUAGCCGGCCUGGGAGGGUGACCGGCGACAUUGGGACUGAGAUACGGCGCAGACUCCUACGGGAGGCAGCAGUGGGGAAUAUUGCACAAUGGGCGGAAGCCUGAUGCAGCAACGCCGCGUGCGGGAUGACGGCCUUCGGGUUGUAAACCGCUUUCGCCUGUGACGAAGCGUGAGUGACGGUAAUGGGUAAGGAAGCACCGGCUAACUACGUG
Molecule: ribosomal RNA, 468 nt
Filed under: uncultured bacterium
Lineage: Bacteria
Description: partial 16S ribosomal RNA
Rfam family: Bacterial small subunit ribosomal RNA
Source: RNAcentral